UUUCGUGCCAGCCACCGCGGUCAUACGAUUAACCCAAGUUAACAGAAGAACGGCGUAAAGUGUGUUUAAGCAUUUAAAAUCCAAAAUAAAGUUAAAGAUCAAUUUAGCUGUAAUACGCCAAGGUUGAUAUUAAAAUACACAACUUACGUGACUUUACCUAUUGUUGAAGACACUAAAGCUAAGGUACAAACUGGGAUUAGAGACCCCACUAUGCUUAGCCGUAAACCGAGGUAGUUGAAUAACAAAACUAUUCGCCAGAGAACUACAAGCCACUGCUUAAAACUCAAAGGACUUGGCGGUGCCCUAGACCCUCCUAGAGGAGCCUGUUCUAUAAUCGAUAAACCCCGAUAUACCUCACCUUUUCUAGCUAUCAGUCUAUAUACCGCCAUCGUCAGCUCACCCCAAUAGGGUACCGAAGUGAGCAAGAUCAUGAAACCAUAAAAACGUUAGGUCAAGGUGUAGCAUAUGGAAAGGGAAGCAAUGGGCUACAUUUUCUAUAUUAGAACAUUACGGAUUGUCUAUUGAAACAAAGACAUGAAGGAGGAUUUAGUAGUAAAUUAAGAAUAGAGAGCUUAAUUGAAAUAGGCAAUGGGGUGCGUACACACCGCCCGUCACCCUCCUCGAUAAAGUAACAAACCUAUACCUAAUAAGAAUACGUAAAAAAGAGGAGAAAAGUCGUAACAUGGUAAGUGUACUGGAAAGUGCACUUGGAUAAUC
Molecule: ribosomal RNA, 717 nt
Filed under: Murexia habbema (Habbema dasyure)
Lineage: Eukaryota; Metazoa; Chordata; Mammalia; Dasyuromorphia; Dasyuridae
Description: partial small subunit ribosomal RNA
Rfam family: Bacterial small subunit ribosomal RNA
Source: RNAcentral